AUUGAACGCUGGCGGCGUGCCUAACACAUGCAAGUCGAGCGGUAACGCGGGAGCAAUCCUGGCGACGAGCGGCAGACGGGUGAGUAAUGCUUGGGUAUCUGCCCAAUAGUGGGGAAUAACCAGUCGAAAGACUGGCUAAUACCGCAUAAGCCCCCUCUUCUUCGGAAAAGGGGGGAAAGGCGGGGGAGUCGCAAGACCUCGCGCUAAUGGACGAGCCCAAGUCGGAUUAGCAGUUGGUGAGGUAACGGCUCACCAAGGCGACGAUCCGUAGCUGGUCUGAGAGGACGACCAGCCACACCGGAACUGAGACACGGUCCGGACUCCUACGGGAGGCAGCAGUGGGGAAUAUUGGACAAUGGGGAACCCUGAUCCAGCGACGCCGCGUGUGUGAAGAAGGCCUGCGGGUUGUAAAGCACUUUUAGUGGGGAUGAAAAGCCUAGAGCUAAUAUCUC
RNAcentral lists this ribosomal RNA (452 nucleotides) under uncultured bacterium. RNAcentral describes it as "bacterial SSU rRNA". It matches the Rfam family "Bacterial small subunit ribosomal RNA", at positions 29 to 464 of the family's 1533-position model. The record is from RNAcentral.